GUAGGUAUGUAAAAACAAAACCCCUCCCAUUCUACUACACAAAGCAAAAAGCUAACAAUUUCUAGGUGAACCUGCGGAAGGAUCAUUACCGAGUUCUCCUGUUCUGCAGGAACUCCCCACCCUUGAAGAUCGAAGCGUUGCUUUGGCAAGACGUCUUUGGACCAUCGGGUUUACUCGAUGAGCGCUUGCCGAAGUUCUAAACACUCAAUUAUGUAUCGUCAGAUAAAACAAGCAAUAAAUGAAAACUUUC
RNAcentral lists this unclassified non-coding RNA (250 nucleotides) under plant metagenome. RNAcentral describes it as "partial contains small subunit ribosomal RNA, internal transcribed spacer 1, and 5.8S ribosomal RNA". The record is from RNAcentral.